GCGUUCACUUUGACAGCCCAUAUACUAAAAUCGGAAUAAUAUAGAAAGGAUUGGCAUGGCCCCUAUGCAGGGAUAACAUACAUUAAAACGAAUUCUUACCUUCUUGA
Small nuclear RNA from Panthera leo (lion), 107 nucleotides. NCBI's taxonomy places the organism in Eukaryota, Metazoa, Chordata, Mammalia, Carnivora, Felidae. The record is from Ensembl.